GAUGAACGCUAGCUACAGGCUUAACGCAUGCAAGUCGAGGGGUAACGAGAGGAAAGCUUGCUUUCCUUGUCGACGACCGGCGCACGGGUGAGUAACGCGUAUCCAACCUGCCCCCAACUAGGGAAUAACCUUGCGAAAGUAAGACUAAUACCCUAUAAUUUCCUCAGAUGACAUCUGACGAGGAAUAAAGAUUUAUUGGUUGUGGAUGGGGAUGCGUCUGAUUAGCUUGUUGGCGGGGUAACGGCCCACCAAGGCAACGAUCAGUAGGGGUUCUGAGAGGAAGGUCCCCCACAUUGGAACUGAGACACGGUCCAAACUCCUACGGGAGGCAGCAGUAAGGAAUAUUGGUCAAUGGGCGGAAGCCUGAACCAGCCAAGUAGCGUGCAGGAUGACGGCCCUAUGGGUUGUAAACUGCUUUUAUACAGGAAUAAAGUUAGCCACGUGUGGUUAUUUGUAGGUACUGUAUGAAUAAGGACCGGCUAAUUCCGUGCCAGCAGCCGCAGUAA
Molecule: ribosomal RNA, 506 nt
Filed under: uncultured bacterium
Lineage: Bacteria
Description: partial 16S ribosomal RNA
Rfam family: Bacterial small subunit ribosomal RNA
Source: RNAcentral